This is a long non-coding RNA of Corapipo altera (White-ruffed manakin), 1029 nucleotides long. RefSeq lists it as uncharacterized. NCBI's taxonomy places the organism in Eukaryota, Metazoa, Chordata, Aves, Passeriformes, Pipridae. The transcript is spliced from 2 exons. The record is from RefSeq and is a predicted model, not a curated record.
AAGAUAUUUAGGGAGAUAUCCUGGUACCACCCGAUCUGCCAGAAGCAGCUUUUUCCAGAUUCUGCCACUGCUUCUGGUGAUUUUUGGUAUUCUGUUUAAGGUGGUUGGAACUUUGUGAGACCGACUUGAGACACCGUGUGCCAGUGAUAUAGUUGUUAUGUCCAGAACUAGCCUGCCUCCCACAUAAAUGACUGCUAGACCCAUUAUGCAACUGCAUCAGUCAUGUAGAAGGAACAAAGAUCUGUGUGAUGGUUAAGCAUCAUGCCCAGUAUCAGAGACACUUAGCUUCAAACCUGAGGAACAAUCAUAGUGUUUUGUACGCCAAAAGAACUGUCUAGCUUCUUUUGCGGGUUUUUAAUUUUUGUUAGUUUGGUUUUGGUUUGGUUUGUUUUUUCUUUAUUUAGCCUUUCUAAAUGGCCAUAUAAAUGCCCUCACAUAUAAACCUCUUUGUUAAAGGGAGCAGUGCCAAAGGGUAGUCAAAAUCCUCUAAACAGAACAAAGAAGUCAGUACUUCAGUCAGCAUGUUUCCCUUCCUGCUGUGGGAAAUAAUUAAGACGGUUUUAUUACAAGCAGGGGCUACCUUGUGCCGGGGCACCUGGGGGCAAUUUUGUUUAAAGGACUGGGGAGCCAUUUUGUGGUUGGGGACUGGUGGACUGCUUGUGGUUCUGCUUGAAGUUGCUUAUUGCUGCUGCCUACCUGCUACACAUAGUUCUGCUUGAGUGGGAAGGAAAGCCAGGAAGAAUAUAAGGUGGUGAGACCAGCCUGGGCUCCCUGUCAGGGAACCAUGCAGCCAGCGGCAGGGAAACAACCUGAUAGGUGGAUGAGGACAACCAAUGAACCGCACCAGAAGGCAAAGAUCACCUUUUAAAGAAGAAAAGAGAGAGGCCCGGCAUGGGAGGAGCGAGGGAGUGCUUAUGCAAAUCGAAGGGUUUUAAAAGGGCUCAUCCCUCCCAUUUGGGGUGUGCUCGAACCAAGUCCUGAGUUAGGUGCACCCAGCACACUGUUAAUAAAGUUCUUUGUUUCACUCUA